UUUGGAAUUGUGUAUGGUGAUUUUGGUGUUGGUGUAAGGAAGCAAGGCUUUGCUCUGGAUUGGGUACUAUCAGGAAGCAGGGGUCAUUCUGGGUAGAGGAUCUUAAAUCUUAGCUAGGAGAGAAGACUAGAGCCACACCAAAUCUAUAAUUAGUAAAGAAGCAGCUCUCCAAUUAGCCAGGAGAGAGGAAUGUUUGACCAUGUUUUGUGAUUUGGACAACAACUAUGUUAUUUGCAAAAAAGCAAAGUGAAUUUACAUACAUCUGGAAGGAGUGAAAUCCUGAGAAGUUUCUGGUAAGCAAGGAAAGGUAAAUGGAAGUUAAUUGGACAAGUAUACAUUCUUUACUAAAUUGAAAUGUGUGAAAUAUUUUAUAUGUUAUUGAUUCAGUAUAUUAAAUGUGUUUUGUUUUAUUUGGGGAAGUAUAAAAAAUAUAAAUGCUUUUAAAGACUCAGUUUUAAUCAUUAUCACAUAAACCUAUUUUCCCCACAAACUUUUAAAUAAUGUAGACUCCUUCUCCUCUAGUUGACAAAGGCAACUGUCCCUUGGUAAAGGCCACGCUUUGCAGGUUCUCAGAGUUGUUGAUGCUGUUGGGGUCUGAGUCACCAUCAAGCUAUGAUCUGUGUUGCGGUGGGGCAGAGUGUGGACGCUCCUGCUCUUACCACUAUGGAGAUCUAGUAGUUUUGUUCCCAGGAUGGAUAGUUGGCCUUAUUUGGGACCUGCUUCCUGAGGAGGUUCCAACAGUUAAUAUACUGUGGAAAAAUCUGAAAUAUCUUAGAAAAGAGAGUAAUUUUGCCAAGGCUAAAGGUGCCUUUUUCAGUUUAGCUCUAAAAACAAACAUAUACUUAACAUCAUGGACUAUCAAAUGGAACUGUGUUUGAAUCCUAGAAGUCUGAUCUACACCUAUAUGAGCUUAGUAGCUCCAGAAUCCAGUAUAAUGCCUACAGUAGAACCAGU
Molecule: non-coding RNA, 954 nt
Organism: Microcebus murinus (gray mouse lemur)
Lineage: Eukaryota; Metazoa; Chordata; Mammalia; Primates; Cheirogaleidae
Source: RefSeq, a predicted model, not a curated record